RNAcentral lists this ribosomal RNA (447 nucleotides) under uncultured bacterium. RNAcentral describes it as "bacterial SSU rRNA". It matches the Rfam family "Bacterial small subunit ribosomal RNA", at positions 328 to 793 of the family's 1533-position model. The record is from RNAcentral.
GUCCCAGACUCCUACGGGAGGCAGCAGUGGGGGAUAUUGCACAAUGGGGGAACCCUGAUGCAGCGACGCCGCGUGAAGGAAGAAGUAUCUCGGUAUGUAAACUUCUAUCAGCAGGGAAGAAAAUGACGGUACCUGACUAAGAAGCCCCGGCUAACUACGUGCCAGCAGCCGCGGUAAUACGUAGGGGGCAAGCGUUAUCCGGAUUCACUGGGUGUAAAGGGAGCGUAGACGGCCAUGCAAGCCUGGAGUGAAAGCCCGGGGCCCAACCCCGGGACUGCUCUGGGAACUGUGCGGCUGGAGUGCGGGAGGGGCAGGCGGAAUUCCUGGUGUAGCGGUGAAAUGCGUAGAUAUCAGGAGGAACACCGGCGGCGAAGGCGGCCUGCUGGACCGCGACUGACGUUGAGGCCCGAAAGCGUGGGGAGCAAACAGGAUUAGAUACCCCCGUAU